GCGAGUACAUCUAAGAAUAGCUUGAUUCACGUUUGAAAACAAUGAUCAAAUGAAAUAUUUUAUUGAAACAAUUGAAAACAAAGCGAUCACGAACCAAUUGGAAAAAUACAUGAGCAAAGCAUUAAGUAUUACCGACUGAACAAUCGGUUAGAAGUUAUUGGCUUAGAAAGCAAAGAAGCUUGAUCUCCAAGUGCGCCAGUAAAAGAGCUUUUUUUAGCCUGAAUUUGGCUCGGUUCUUAGACAUAGACAGAGCAAGAGAGAAAGAGAAAGAGAAUCCUACCUGUGGGUGAAAAAGAGAAGCUUCGAAACUACUAUAAAACGCGAUUGUUCUACCUGAGAACAAUGAGCAGCUUUUGAAGAGAACAAAAAAUGAUUGUUUCGCGAUAAGAAAGAUUUAAAAAAAAAAAAAAACAUAUCAACACGACACGUGUAGGAAGAUCUGGUUGGAAAAUUGUAUGUACAAAAAUACUUUUGUCAAGAACGACGGUCAGUGAACGCGAGUACAAAGAAGGAUUAAAGAAAGACACAGAGUUAGUCAC
Polistes canadensis is the source of this 539-nucleotide long non-coding RNA. RefSeq lists it as uncharacterized. The transcript is spliced from 3 exons. The record is from RefSeq and is a predicted model, not a curated record. NCBI's taxonomy places the organism in Eukaryota, Metazoa, Arthropoda, Insecta, Hymenoptera, Vespidae.